AGGUGGAGGCUGGCCCUCGUGGCU
RNAcentral lists this non-coding RNA (24 nucleotides) under Arabidopsis thaliana (thale cress). The record is from RNAcentral. Lineage: Eukaryota; Viridiplantae; Streptophyta; Magnoliopsida; Brassicales; Brassicaceae.